RNAcentral lists this ribosomal RNA (482 nucleotides) under uncultured bacterium. RNAcentral's name for it is "bacterial SSU rRNA". It matches the Rfam family "Bacterial small subunit ribosomal RNA", at positions 15 to 518 of the family's 1533-position model. The record is from RNAcentral.
GAUCCUGGCUCAGAAUGAACGCUGGCGGCAUGGAUUAGGCAUGCAAGUCGAACGUACUCCCUUCGGGGAGAAAGUGGCGAAAGGGUGAGUAACACGUGAGCAACCUGCCUCCGGAUCCGGAAUAAUCCAGGGAAACUUGGUCUAAAACCGGAUGAAGACAUUGGUCCGCAUGGUCUAAUGUUAAAAUAUUUAUAGUCCGGAGAGGGGCUCGCGGCCCAUUAGCUUGUUGGCGGGGUAAUGGCCCACCAAGGCUACGACGGGUAGGUGGUCUGAGAGGAUGGUCACCCACACUGGGACUGAGACACUGCCCAGACUCCUACGGGAGGCUGCAGUCGAGAAUCUUCCGCAAUGGGCGCAAAGCCUGACGGAGCGAUGCCGCGUGAGGGAUGAAGGCCUUCGGGUUGUAAACCUCUGUCAUCCGGGACGAAAACAAUGACGGUACCGGAAAAGGAAGCCACGGCUAACCACGUGCCAGCCGCUGC